RNAcentral lists this unclassified non-coding RNA (160 nucleotides) under uncultured fungus. RNAcentral describes it as "sequence contains ITS1". Lineage: Eukaryota; Fungi. The record is from RNAcentral.
CUGAAGUUUUGGCCGCAAGGCCACUCUUCCACCCUUUGUUUAUAACACCUUUGUUGCUUUGGCGGGCCGCCCUAGGCCACCGGCGUCAGCUGGUGCGCGCCCGCCAGAGGCCCAAACAACCUGUUUUAUAGUGUUUGUCUGAGUAAAAACUUAAUUGUUA